GUUGUACGACGGCCAGUGAAUUGUAAUACGACUCACUAUAGGGCGAAUUGGGCCCGACNUCGCAUGCUCCCGGCCGCCAUGGCCGCGGGNAUUUGAGAGUUUGAUCCUGGCUCAGAAUGAACGCUGGCGGCAUGCCUAACACAUGCAAGUCGAACGAAGGCUUCGGCCUUAGUGGCGCACGGGUGCGUAACGCGUGGGAAUCUGCCCUUGGGUUCGGAAUAACAGUUAGAAAUGACUGCUAAUACCGGAUGAUGUCGUAAGACCAAAGAUUUAUCGCCCAAGGAUGAGCCCGCGUAGGAUUAGCUAGUUGGUGAGGUAAAAGCUCACCAAGGCGACGAUCCUUAGCUGGUCUGAGAGGAUGAUCAGCCACACUGGGACUGAGACACGGCCCAGACUCCUACGGGAGGCAGCAGUGGGGAAUAUUGGACAAUGGGCGAAAGCCUGAUCCAGCAAUGCCGCGUGAGUGAUGAAGGCCUUAGGGUUGUAAAGCUCUUUUACCCGGGAUGAUAAUGACAGUACCGGGAGAAUAAGCUCCGG
RNAcentral lists this ribosomal RNA (537 nucleotides) under Sphingomonas sp. KH406. Its description in RNAcentral is "bacterial SSU rRNA". The stretch from base 89 to 537 matches the Rfam family "Bacterial small subunit ribosomal RNA", at positions 1 to 496 of the family's 1533-position model. Lineage: Bacteria; Pseudomonadati; Pseudomonadota; Alphaproteobacteria; Sphingomonadales; Sphingomonadaceae. The record is from RNAcentral.